RNAcentral lists this ribosomal RNA (404 nucleotides) under Actinomycetes bacterium. Its description in RNAcentral is "Actinobacteria bacterium partial 16S ribosomal RNA". It matches the Rfam family "Bacterial small subunit ribosomal RNA", at positions 355 to 776 of the family's 1533-position model. The record is from RNAcentral. Lineage: Bacteria; Bacillati; Actinomycetota; Actinomycetes.
UGGGGAAUAUUGGACAAUGGGCGCAAGCCUGAUCCAGCCAUGCCGCGUGAGUGAUGAAGGCCCUAGGGUUGUAAAGCUCUUUCACCGGUGAAGAUAAUGACGGUAACCGGAGAAGAAGCUCCGGCUAACCUCGUGCCAGCAGCCGCGGUAAUACGAAGGGGGCUAGCGUUGUUCGGAUUUACUGGGCGUAAAGCGCACGUAGGCGGACUUUUAAGUCAGGGGUGAAAUCCCGGGGCUCAACCCCGGAACUACCUUUGAUACUGGAAGUCUUGAGUAUGGUAGAGGUGAGUGGAAUUCCGAGUGUAGAGGUGAAAUUCGUAGAUAUUCGGAGGAACACCAGUGGCGAGGGCGGCUCACUGGACCAUUACUGACGCUGAGGUGCGAAAGCGUGGGGAGCAAACAGG